GCCCCUCCUGUGCCCGGCGGCACCGCCGUCCCUGCGCUCCGCGGCUCCCCGUGCGACGGCGCGGAAAAGACGACGCUGCGCCCGAACCUCUGCUCUGUCGGCAGUGCUGCGAGCUCGGCCGUUCGUGCAGCAAAGAAGAAAUGAGACAGUGGGAAGUGAAUGAUGCAGGUGUCCUGUGGCUGCUGAGCGCAGCUCCCCACAUCCAGCACCAGGACUGCUCCAUAGACUGACAGCAGUUCAGGAUGUUGCAGCAUACAACAUAAUGUUUAAACUAAUAUUCAAAAAUGUC
This is a long non-coding RNA of Lagopus leucura (white-tailed ptarmigan), 289 nucleotides long. RefSeq lists it as uncharacterized. Lineage: Eukaryota; Metazoa; Chordata; Aves; Galliformes; Phasianidae. The record is from RefSeq and is a predicted model, not a curated record. The transcript is spliced from 2 exons.